RNAcentral lists this ribosomal RNA (253 nucleotides) under uncultured bacterium. RNAcentral's name for it is "partial 16S ribosomal RNA". It matches the Rfam family "Bacterial small subunit ribosomal RNA", at positions 524 to 776 of the family's 1533-position model. The record is from RNAcentral.
UACGUAGGGUGCGAGCGUUAAUCGGAAUUACUGGGCGUAAAGUGUGCGCAGGCGGCCGGGCAAGUCGAGUGUGAAAGCCCCGAGCUUAACUUGGGAAUUGCGCUCGAAACUACGUGGCUGGAGUGUGGCAGAGGUAGGUGGAAUUCCAGGUGUAGCGGUGAAAUGCGUAGAGAUCUGGAGGAACACCGAUGGCGAAGGCAGCCUUCUGGGCCAACACUGACGCUCAUGCACGAAAGCGUGGGGAGCAAACAGG